UUCGGUUAAGUCCGCUAACGAGCGCCAACCCUCGCUGUGUGUUAUAUGUGUCACACGGGACUGCCGGUCUUAAGCGGAGGAAGGUGGGGAUGAUGUCAAGUCAGCAUGGCCUUUAUAUCCUGGGCUACACACACGCUACAAUGGCCAACACAAUAGGUUGCUAAGCCGCGAGGUGGCGCCAAUCCAUAAAGUUGGUCUCAGUUCAGAUUGUAGGCUGCAACCCGCCUGCAUGAAGAUGGAGUUGCUAGUAACCGCAGGUCAGCUAUACUGCGGUGAAUACCGUUCCCGGGGCUU
Molecule: ribosomal RNA, 294 nt
Filed under: uncultured Leptolinea sp.
Lineage: Bacteria; Bacillati; Chloroflexota; Anaerolineae; Anaerolineales; Anaerolineaceae
Description: partial 16S ribosomal RNA
Rfam family: Bacterial small subunit ribosomal RNA
Source: RNAcentral